This 541-nucleotide ribosomal RNA is filed under the name Papiliotrema terrestris. Its description in RNAcentral is "eukaryotic LSU rRNA". It matches the Rfam family "Eukaryotic large subunit ribosomal RNA", at positions 119 to 649 of the family's 3401-position model. Lineage: Eukaryota; Fungi; Basidiomycota; Tremellomycetes; Tremellales; Rhynchogastremaceae. The record is from RNAcentral.
AAUCUGGCGUGCUCAGUGCGUCCGAGUUGUAAUCUAUAGAGGCGUUUUCCGUGCCGGACUGUGUCUAAGUCCCUUGGAACAGGGUAUCAAAGAGGGUGAUAAUCCCGUACUUGACACAAUGACCGGUGCUCUGUGAUACGUCUUCUACGAGUCGAGUUGUUUGGGAAUGCAGCUCAAAAUGGGUGGUGAGUUCCAUCUAAAGCUAAAUAUUGGCGAGAGACCGAUAGCGAACAAGUACCGUGAGGGAAAGAUGAAAAGCACUUUGGAAAGAGAGUUAAACAGUACGUGAAAUUGUUGAAAGGGAAACGAUUGAAGUCAGUCGUGACUGAGAGGCUCAGCCGGUUCUGCCGGUGUAUUCCCCUCAGUCAGGUCAACAUCAGUUUUGUUCGGUGGAUAAGGGCAGCUGGAAGGUGGCACCUCCGGGUGUGUUAUAGCCAGCUGUCGCAUACAUCGAAUGAGACUGAGGAAUGCAGCUCGCCUUUAUGGCCGGGGUUCGCCCACGUCCGAGCUUAGGAUGUUGACAUAAUGGCUUUAAACGACC